UGCCUACGGGGGGCAGCAGUGGGGAAUAUUGGACAAUGGGCGAAAGCCUGAUCCAGCAAUGCCGCGUGAGUGAUGAAGGCCCUAGGGUUGUAAAGCUCUUUUACCCGGGAUGAUAAUGACAGUACCGGGAGAAUAAGCUCCGGCUAACUCCGUGCCAGCAGCCGCGGUAAUACGGAGGGAGCUAGCGUUGUUCGGAAUUACUGGGCGUAAAGCGCACGUAGGCGGCUUUGUAAGUUAGGGGUGAAAGCCCGGGGCUCAACUCCGGAAUUGCCUUUAAGACUGCAUCGCUUGAAUCCAGGAGAGGUGAGUGGAAUUCCGAGUGUAGAGGUGAAAUUCGUAGAUAUUCGGAAGAACACCAGUGGCGAAGGCGGCUCACUGGACUGGUAUUGACGCUGAGGUGCGAAAGCGUGGGGAGCAAACAGGAUUAGAUACCCGGGUAGUC
This 442-nucleotide ribosomal RNA is filed under the name uncultured Sphingomonadaceae bacterium. RNAcentral's name for it is "bacterial SSU rRNA". It matches the Rfam family "Bacterial small subunit ribosomal RNA", at positions 335 to 795 of the family's 1533-position model. The record is from RNAcentral. Lineage: Bacteria; Pseudomonadati; Pseudomonadota; Alphaproteobacteria; Sphingomonadales; Sphingomonadaceae.